Molecule: ribosomal RNA, 500 nt
Filed under: uncultured bacterium
Lineage: Bacteria
Description: partial 16S ribosomal RNA
Rfam family: Bacterial small subunit ribosomal RNA
Source: RNAcentral
AUUGAACGCUGGCGGCAUGCCUUACACAUGCAAGUCGAACGGCAGCACGGGAGCAAUCCUGGUGGCGAGUGGCGAACGGGUGAGUAAAGUAUCGGAACGUGCCCAGUCGUGGGGGAUAACGUAGCGAAAGUUACGCUAAUACCGCAUACGAUCUAUGGAUGAAAGCGGAGGAUCGCAAGACCUCGCGCGAUUGGAGCGGCAGAUAUCAGAUUAGGUAGUUGGUGGGGUAAAGGCUCACCAAGCCGACGAGCUGUAGCUGGUCUGAGAGGACGACCAGCCACACUGGGACUGAGACACGGCCCAGACUCCUACGGGAGGCAGCAGUGGGGAACUUUGGACAAUGGGCGAAAGCCUGAUCCAGCCAUGCCGCGUGCAGGAUGAAGGCCUUCGGGUUGUAAACUGCUUUUGUACGGAACGAAAAGGUUUGGCCUAAUAAGCUGAGCUCAUGACGGUACCGUAAGAAUAAGCACCGGCUAACUACGUGCCAGCCGCCGCGGUAA